GAUCAUGGCUCAGGAUGAACGCUGGCGGCGUGCUUAACACAUGCAAGUCGAGCGAAGCGAAUCUUCGGAAGUUUUCGGAUGGAAGAGGAUUUGACUUAGCGGCGGACGGGUGAGUAACGCGUGGGUAACCUGCCUUACACUGGGGGAUAACAGUUAGAAAUGACUGCUAAUACCGCAUAAGCGCACAGGGCCGCAUGGUCCGGUGUGAAAAACUCCGGUGGUGUAAGAUGGACCCGCGUCUGAUUAGG
Molecule: ribosomal RNA, 248 nt
Filed under: uncultured bacterium
Lineage: Bacteria
Description: partial 16S ribosomal RNA
Rfam family: Bacterial small subunit ribosomal RNA
Source: RNAcentral